RNAcentral lists this ribosomal RNA (1450 nucleotides) under uncultured organism. Its description in RNAcentral is "SSU rRNA". It matches the Rfam family "Bacterial small subunit ribosomal RNA". The record is from RNAcentral.
UGGCUCAGGAUGAACGCUAGCUACAGGCUUAACACAUGCAAGUCGAGGGGCAUCAGGAAGAAAGCUUGCUUUCUUUGCUGGCGACCGGCGCACGGGUGAGUAACACGUAUCCAACCUGCCCUUUACUCGGGGAUAGCCUUUCGAAAGAAAGAUUAAUACCCGAUAGCAUAAUGAUUCCGCAUGGUUUCAUUAUUAAAGGAUUCCGGUAAAGGAUGGGGAUGCGUUCCAUUAGGUUGUUGGUGAGGUAACGGCCCACCAAGCCUUCGAUGGAUAGGGGUUCUGAGAGGAAGGUCCCCCACAUUGGAACUGAGACACGGUCCAAACUCCUACGGGAGGCAGCAGUGAGGAAUAUUGGUCAAUGGGCGCUAGCCUGAACCAGCCAAGUAGCGUGAAGGAUGAAGGCUCUAUGGGUCGUAAACUUCUUUUAUAUAAGAAUAAAGUGCAGUAUGUAUACUGUUUUGUAUGUAUUAUAUGAAUAAGGAUCGGCUAACUCCGUGCCAGCAGCCGCGGUAAUACGGAGGAUCCGAGCGUUAUCCGGAUUUAUUGGGUUUAAAGGGAGCGUAGGUGGACUGGUAAGUCAGUUGUGAAAGUUUGCGGCUCAACCGUAAAAUUGCAGUUGAUACUGUCAGUCUUGAGUACAGUAGAGGUGGGCGGAAUUCGUGGUGUAGCGGUGAAAUGCUUAGAUAUCACGAAGAACUCCGAUUGCGAAGGCAGCUCACUGGACUGCAACUGACACUGAUGCUCGAAAGUGUGGGUAUCAAACAGGAUUAGAUACCCUGGUAGUCCACACAGUAAACGAUGAAUACUCGCUGUUUGCGAUAUACAGUAAGCGGCCAAGCGAAAGCAUUAAGUAUUCCACCUGGGGAGUACGCCGGCAACGGUGAAACUCAAAGGAAUUGACGGGGGCCCGCACAAGCGGAGGAACAUGUGGUUUAAUUCGAUGAUACGCGAGGAACCUUACCCGGGCUUAAAUUGCAGUGGAAUGAUGUGGAAACAUGUCAGUGAGCAAUCACCGCUGUGAAGGUGCUGCAUGGUUGUCGUCAGCUCGUGCCGUGAGGUGUCGGCUUAAGUGCCAUAACGAGCGCAACCCUUAUCUUUAGUUACUAACAGGUUAUGCUGAGGACUCUAGAGAGACUGCCGUCGUAAGAUGUGAGGAAGGUGGGGAUGACGUCAAAUCAGCACGGCCCUUACGUCCGGGGCUACACACGUGUUACAAUGGGGGGUACAGAAGGCAGCUAGCGGGUGACCGUAUGCUAAUCCCAAAAUCCUCUCUCAGUUCGGAUCGAAGUCUGCAACCCGACUUCGUGAAGCUGGAUUCGCUAGUAAUCGCGCAUCAGCCACGGCGCGGUGAAUACGUUCCCGGGCCUUGUACACACCGCCCGUCAAGCCAUGGGAGCCGGGGGUACCUGAAGUACGUAACCGCAAGGAUCGUCCUAGGGUAAAACUGGUG